This 902-nucleotide ribosomal RNA is filed under the name uncultured bacterium. RNAcentral describes it as "bacterial SSU rRNA". It matches the Rfam family "Bacterial small subunit ribosomal RNA", at positions 8 to 881 of the family's 1533-position model. The record is from RNAcentral.
AGAGUUUGAUCCUGGCUCAGGACGAACGCUGGCGGCGUGCUUAACACAUGCAAGUCGUACGAGACGAUUGAAAGCUUGCUUUUGAAAGUCGAGUGGCAAACGGGUGAGUAACGCGUAGACAACCUGCCGUAAAGAUGGGGACAACAGUCCGAAAGGACUGCUAAUACCGAAUGUUGUGGAACUUCUGCAUGGGAGCUCCACUAAAGAUGGCCUCUACUUGUAAGCUAUCGCUUUACGAUGGGUCUGCGUCUGAUUAGCUAGUUGGUGGGGCAACGGCCUACCAAGGCGACGAUCAGUAGCCGGUCUGAGAGGAUGAACGGCCACAUUGGAACUGAGACACGGUCCAGACUCCUACGGGAGGCAGCAGUGGGGAAUCUUCCGCAAUGGGCGCAAGCCUGACGGAGCAACGCCGCGUGAGUGAAGAAGGGUUUCGACUCGUAAAGCUCUGUUGUCGGGGACGAACGUGGAGAUGGUGAAUAACCAUUUCCAAUGACGGUACCUGACGAGGAAGCCACGGCUAACUACGUGCCAGCAGCCGCGGUAAUACGUAGGUGGCGAGCGUUGUCCGGAAUUAUUGGGCGUAAAGGGAGCGCAGGCGGGAGAUCAAGUCUAUCUUAAAAGUGCGGGGCUCAACCCCGUGAGGGGAUGGAAACUGGUCUUCUUGAGUGCAGGAGAGGAAAGCGGAAUUCCUAGUGUAGCGGUGAAAUGCGUAGAUAUUAGGAGGAACACCAGUGGCGAAGGCGGCUUUCUGGACUGUAACUGACGCUGAGGCUCGAAAGCGUGGGGAGCGAACAGGAUUAGAUACCCUGGUAGUCCACGCCGUAAACGAUGAAUGCUAGGUGUAGGAGGUAUCGACCCCUCCUGUGCCGGAGUUAACGCAAUAAGCAUUCCGCCUGGGGAGU